AGUGAACGCUGGCGGUAGGCCUAACACAUGCAAGUCGAACGGCAGCACAGUAAGAGCUUGCUCUUACGGGUGGCGAGUGGCGGACGGGUGAGGAAUACAUCGGAAUCUACUUUUUCGUGGGGGAUAACGUAGGGAAACUUACGCUAAUACCGCAUACGACCUACGGGUGAAAGCAGGGGAUCUUCGGACCUUGCGCGAUUGAAUGAGCCGAUGUCGGAUUAACUAGUUGGCGGGGUAAAGGCCCACCAAGGCGACGAUCCGUAGCUGGUCUGAGAGGAUGAUCAGCCACACUGGAACUGAGACACGGUCCAGACUCCUACGGGAGGCAGCAGUGGGGAAUAUUGGACAAUGGGCGAAAGCCUGAUCCAGCCAUACCGCGUGGGUGAAGAAGGCCUUCGGGUUGUAAAGCCCUUUUGUUGGGAAAGAAAAGCAGCAGGUUAAUACCCCGCUGUUCUGACGGUACCCAAAGAAUAAGCACCGGCUAACUUCGUG
Molecule: ribosomal RNA, 492 nt
Filed under: uncultured bacterium
Lineage: Bacteria
Description: partial 16S ribosomal RNA
Rfam family: Bacterial small subunit ribosomal RNA
Source: RNAcentral